RNAcentral lists this ribosomal RNA (492 nucleotides) under uncultured bacterium. RNAcentral's name for it is "partial 16S ribosomal RNA". It matches the Rfam family "Bacterial small subunit ribosomal RNA", at positions 29 to 507 of the family's 1533-position model. The record is from RNAcentral.
AGUGAACGCUGGCGGCAUGCCUAACACAUGCAAGUCGAACGGCAGCACAGUAAGAGCUUGCUCUUCCGGGUGGCGAGUGGCGGACGGGUGAGGAAUACAUCGGAAUCUACUUUUUCGUGGGGGAUAACGUAGGUAAACUUACGCUAAUACCGCAUACGACCUACGGGUGAAAGCAGGGGAUCUUCGGACCUUGCGCGAUUGAAUGAGCCGAUGUCGGAUUAGUUAGUUGGCGGGGUAAUGGCCCACCAAGGCGACGAUCCGUAGCUGGUCUGAGAGGAUGAUCAGCCACACUGGAAGUGAGACACGGUCCAGACUCCUACGGGAGGCACCAGUGGGGAAUAUUGGGCAAUGGGGGCGAGCCUGAUCCAGCCAUACCGCGUGGGUGAAGAAGGCCUUCGGGUUGUAAAGCCCUUUUGUUGGGAGAGAAAAGCAGCAGGUUAAUACGACGCUGUUCUGACGGUACCCAAAGAAUAAGCACCGGCUAACUUCGUG